UACGACCACAUCACAUUAAAACACCGGUUUCCGUAAGAAAACUGAAGUUAAGCAACGUAGAACCUUAUUAGUACCUAGAUGGGUGACCGCUUGCAAAUACCAGGUGCUGUAAU
Acanthosepion pharaonis is the source of this 113-nucleotide non-coding RNA. Lineage: Eukaryota; Metazoa; Mollusca; Cephalopoda; Sepiida; Sepiidae. The record is from the annotation of a GenBank genome assembly.